RNAcentral lists this long non-coding RNA (2092 nucleotides) under Homo sapiens (human). RNAcentral's name for it is "HSALNT0284655". Lineage: Eukaryota; Metazoa; Chordata; Mammalia; Primates; Hominidae. The record is from RNAcentral.
CCCGGGUUCACGCCAUCUUGCCACUAAACCUGAUUUACCAACAUAACCUGUUUCUGGCCAUGCUGUGAAUCUGCAUUCUUUACUGUGUCCUUGGGAUACUAGGUCUCUGAUCAAGUGCCACAUCUUUAGAGAAGCUUUUCCAAACAACCGAUUAUGAAGUACACAUUAACAAUGAAGCCUCUUUUCAAGUAAAGAAGUGAGUAACUCUGGUAACCACCAAUCUACACUCUAUUUUCAUGAGAUCCAGUUUUAUAGCUCCCACAUGAGAAGCCCUGGGAGAAUGCAGUCCACAGGGGUCUUUACAGUGUUCCAUAAUCAACUAUUUCUUGAACAAGAAUCAUGUGUACCACUAUAAAGUACCAACUUCAAUUCCAAGUGGAGCAUUUCACAUUGAGAAAGACCCCAACAGAAGUUAGAGUCUCAGCAUCAAGGAUUUUCCCAUGGUGAUUGGAAUAUACAUGGAAGUGAUAUUCAGUAAUUUAAUGACAGCAGAUCCAAACAUAUAAGCCAACUGGCCAAAAUCUCUGAAACAAUAUUGAAAAAUAUGGUGAGUCUUGUUCUUAAUUUUAAGAAGAAUGCUUUGAAGAUUUCAUGACUGUCAUGCUAGCUCUAAGUUUUUGGAAGAUGUCUUUUAUCCGUUUAAGAAAAUCCCCUUCUACCAAUAAGCUACUAAGAUUUUUCCUUUUAUCACAAAUGAUUUUUCACUUUAUUUAAUAACUUUCCCAAAUUUUUAAAGAUGAUUAUGAGUUUUUACUUCUUUCUCUUUAUAUGUAAGUUACAUUAAUAGAUGUUGAACUGUCCUUUCAUUCCUGGACAAAUGCCCCUUCAUUCCUGAACAAAGGCUAAUUUGUUCACAAACGUGUUAUUUAUUAAUGCAUUAUUAUAUUUAAUUUGCUAAUAUAUUGUUGAGGAUUGUUAUCUCUCUAUGUUUAUAAGUGUGUUUGGCCUGCAAAUUUUCUAUCUUAUACUGUCUUUUUCUGGUUUUGGUGUCGUGGUUAUGCAAUUUUCAUAAAGAGCUUUAAGAAGUAUGCCAUUUUUUCUCUUUUUUGAAAGUUUUGUUAAGUAUGUUCUUUGAAUGCUUGUCAGAAUUUGUCCGUAACAACUUUUGAUCAUUCAUAUUUGCAAUUCUUAUGUAUUUAAGUUUGGUAACUUACUAUUUUUUUUCUUGGAUUUUCUCUAUUUUACCUAAGUUUCAAAUUUAUUAACAAAAGUUUCUUCAGAAUAUUGUCUUCUAUUUUUAUUUAGCUAUGUUUUUAUUUUAUUUCUAAUAUCGGUUAUAUGUAUCUUCUCAUUUUUCUUCUUCUUUAAAGAGCUUGUUUAAUGUCAUUAGUGUUUUCAGAGAAUCAACUUUUGUGUUUAUUGAUUUUUCACUAUUUCAACUUUAUUUUCUAUUUCAUCAAUUUCUCUUCCUAGUUUUUUUCUUAUCAUUUUCUUUCUUCUGCUUUCCCUGGUUUCAUUCAGUUGAUAUUUAUUUGUCUUUGAAUGUUGAUUUUAAUGAGAAUAAAAUUAUUGUCUGUCAAUCAUUUUUCUCAGUACUUUGUAUACAUCAUUCUACAGACAUAUGGCUUCGUAGCUGAUGUUCAGAAAUCAGCUGUUAAUCUAAGCUUUAUUUCAUUUAGAUAAUCUGAUUAGAUUGAUAUUGGAUCUUCUCAUACUAAUCUUCAUGAUUAUUAAAGUUUUAAUAUGUCUUUAAUAAAUUCUGAAUUAUCUCUCUAGCUCUAUUUCUUAACUUAAAAUUUCUUUCUGCAGUGUUGUUAAAUCUUAUCAUUAUGCCAUCUGUUGAGCAUUUAAUUUCGGUGAUCAUAUAUUUUUUAUUUCUACAUGUUCUACUUAGUUUUUUCUCAUGUUUUUUUCUUAUCUGUUUACUCCUUUUUUAUUUUAAGUACUUUAUAUAAACUUAUAUUUGGAAUGUGAACUGAAUUCAAUAUCUGUAAUUAUUAUAAAUUCUCUAGUUUCUUGUUUCUGCUGAUUCUUACUUAUUGUAACUUAUUUCCUCAUGUGCUUAGUAAUUUAUUUUUAUUGUUAUUUCAUAUUCCUUGUAAUUUGAUCUGGGGACUCAUUGAGGCCUUUAUUAAAAUGUGUUCUUCCAGAA